Molecule: non-coding RNA, 4363 nt
Organism: Podarcis lilfordi (Lilford's wall lizard)
Lineage: Eukaryota; Metazoa; Chordata; Lepidosauria; Squamata; Lacertidae
Source: the annotation of a GenBank genome assembly
UGUUAAUUCACAGAACUCAAUUAAGGCUUAAUUUAGAGUGGCUCUCGCUCGUCCUAUGCAGAGGAGAGUCCCCUAUUUGAAGGGUCCUCAGGUCCUGAUAAAAAUCCAUAAGAAGAAAGGGCAGGUGGGCCCUGAAGCUGCCCACCAAGAGUUAAAACCUGGAAAGCAGAUUGAAAACAGGUAUGUGGUUCAUAUUGUCAAAACUGUCUUAUCUGAUAUGGUGUAUUUCUAUUUAUAUUGUAGUGACUGUUUUUAAUUUGUGAAACUAUAUUAUAUACAGUAUUUCAAAUUUAACCCUGGUGGGUUUUAGGUGUCUGGGAAAGACAUUUUUUAUUUAUGCAGGCAUUUGGUUAGCUUGACUGGAGGAGAUAUUGUGUCACCCUCAUGCUACUGUAAUCCAUUGUUGUAGUAGUCUGAUUUUUCAGUUUGCUUAUUUGAACAUGUUAUAAAGUUACCAGAUUUUUUUCCAAUGAAUCCAGGGACACUUUUCAACUUUCUACUAAAUAGAUGGAUUUUGUCAGGGGACUGAUUUGUAAAUCUGGGGACUGUCCCUGGGAAACGGGGACAUCUGGUAACCUUAUCAUGUUACACACACACACACACACACACACACACACACACACACUAUGCUGUAACCCACCCUGGGAUUGACGUUACAUACCUUCCAACAUUUCUUUGAAGAAAAUUGGGACAUCCUAUUCAAUAAUAAUAAUAAUAAUAAUAAUAAUAAUAAUAAUAAUAUUAAAUCAAACAAUUGUUAUUAUUUACACCCCAUCUAUCUGACUGGGUUGCUCCAGCUACUCUUGGCAGCUUACAACAUAUAUAAAAACAUAAUAAAACAUCAGUCAUUAAAAACUUCCCUAUAUAGGGCUGCCUUUAGAUGUCUUCUAAAGGCUGUAUAGUUACUUAUCUCCUUGCCUCAGGGGCCACAUAACAAUAGGUUGUAAAUUACAUACCUCAGUAAACAGAACUACAAUGAACACAUGCAAAUGUGAUAUAUAGCUAUGUCUUUUAUUGCUAUGUGCAGGAGUGCCCACUCCCAAUAAAGUCCCUCCUUUCUGUCUGUUGCUGUGGUAAAAGAGCAGAGAGCUUCUCUGUGGAGCUUGCACAGUCAAUCUUGAAUCCAAAGAGCUCCUCCUCUUUUACCUCCAACCAGACUAAUGCUGGUUUGGCAAUCAAAAGAGGAGUGGAGCAUGAAUUCAUGUCUCCUCUUUCCUAGUCAGUAAACUAAUCCAGAAUGCGGCAGUUAGACUGCCGACACCACAUAACACUCGUCUUGAAAGACCUACAUUGGCUCCCAGUACGUUUCCAAGCACAAUUCAAAGUAUUGGUGUUGACCUUUAAAGCCCUAAACGGCCUUCAGUAUACCUGAAGGAGCGUCUCCACCCCCAUCGUUCUGCCCGGACGCUGAGGUCCAGCGCCGAGGGCCUUCUGGUGGUUCCCUCCCUCAUUGUGAGAAGCAAAGCUACAGGGAACCAGGCAGAGGGCCUUCUCAGUAGUGGCGCCCGCCCUGUGGAAUGCCCUCCCAUCAGAUGUCAAAGCGAUAAACAACUACCUGACAUUCAGAAGACAUCUUAAGGCAGCCCUGUUCAGGGAAGUUUUUAAUGUGUGAUAUUUUAGUGUAUUUUUGGUUUCUGUGGAAGCCGCCCAGAGUGGCUGGGGAAACCCAGCCAGAUGGGUGGGGUACAAAUAAUAAAGUAGUAGUAGUAGUAGUAGUAGUAGUAGUCUGCAGGGAUCCAUGGUAAAAGGGGAUUCAAAUCAUUGUGUGUAGGACUUUCUGGCAACUCCCAGGGCUGACAUGGAAACACACACAGUGGAAGAGAGUCUAUUGUUGCCAUGCCACUGGUUGCAUGCUGUGCAUGGGAUGGGGUGGGAAGGUGUUCGGAGGCCUUGCCUCUGUUACUCUGAGUGGGGGAGAGGGCUCCUUCCUUGCCGCUCUUGUCCUCACUGCAGCUCAUGCUUGUUGGCGGCCUAUGGUGUUGCGAGGGACACCAGAGGCACGGCUGGAGUGUGCGUAUUCCAUUCUGUGGUUGGGCUUCUUCUCUGCAACACUUUCCCCUUUCCCACUUCUGCACAGUGAAUGUAUAAAGGGAGGUGCAUAUCAGACCACCACUAGAUCGCUAUAAGUGUCCCCUUCCCACUUCAGGAGUAUAGAGUUGGUCUGCCCAGGCAGGCUUUACAUUCAUCUUCUUUUGAAAUCAACAGGAUUUGAAAGUUCUGAUCUUUGGUUGCAUCAUAAUUUAAAGUGUGUAGCAUUGCAUUCCAAAAUAAAUAAGUAGCUGAACUAAUAGUUGUACUUAAUUUAGAAAGGAGAUGCCUUACUUUAUCUGUAGCCAGCAAGUGAGUUAUAUUGCAGGUUUGGCUGUACUUUGAGACAGUCUACCACUGAAAAGGAGUUUUCUUUUAAAGAAAAACAUUAUUUUUUUCAUUUAUUAUUCACUUCCCCAGAGGCAUCCUGAAGCAAUUUGCAAUAUAAUAACACAUAGAAAACAGUUACAUAUAUAAAGCAGUUAAAACAAUUGCAUAUAUAGUAUAUAUAUUUUUUUAAAAAAGUAAAUACAUAAUACAUAAUAAUAAAAUAAAAAUUAAAAAACCCAAACAAACAGAUGUUAAUAAGAAGCUGAAGCAUUUAAGGUUUUUUCCCAGAGAACUGGAAAUACAGUUUGGAAAAAAAUAAUAAAUGAUUCUAAAUAAAUAAAGUUUGAUGUGAAAACAGACUGGUGAAGGGCCUAACGUUUAAAUUACUGAUGUACUGAAAAUUUAUCUCACUUUCCCCGCCACCCUACAGUCUCCAUAAAUUAAUGAGAAAAUUGGUCCAAAGGCCCAUCUAGUUCAUAAUCGUGUUCUCACAGCUGUCAAUCAGAUGUCUAUGGGAAUUCUGCAAGCAGGACCUGAGUGCAACAUUGCUCUCUUCACUUGUGAUUCCCUGUCAGUACUCUAUUGUCCAUGAGAUAGACUGAGGCAGCCACCUCGGGCAGUGGAUUCUCAAGGGUGGCUCCUCAUUCAUCCACAACCCUGUCACUGCCAGAGAAUUGGGCAGAAGUGGUGGCGGCUUCCAGUGAGGUCUUGCAGAUCUUCACAAGCAUUUUGUGAAGAUCUUGCCAGAAGCCACUGCUACCACUGCGUCUCCUCGGCUUUUCAUGAGUGCUGCCUGCCACCUGCCACUGAAGAAUGAAGGAGAAACAGCUGCAGUGGCAGUUUGGGGAUUUUGGUGAGAUCUCAUGGGGCUCUCACAUCUUCCCACGUCUCCAGUCAUGGGAGGCCGUAUGAGAUCUCACCAGAAACCAUUUAUGCAGCUCCUCUCCUCUCUUCUCUAGUGGGAGGGGCAGGUGCCAACCAUGAAGGCACUGCAGAAGCAAAGAGAAACAGCAACAGUAGCAGCUUCUGGUGAGAUCUUGUCGGAACCCAGAGGUCACAACACAACGCCGGUGUCAAGGCUUUGGUGGGAGGACACCUUCAAAAUACGAUGUGCAGCCCCUGUUCCCAGCAACUGGCAUAUAGAAGUCAAUACUGGAGGGUAGUAUACAGCCAUAGUGUCUAAAAAUAAUAAUUGACAUCUUCAUCUUCCCUUGGAUUUGUCUAAACUCCUUUAAAAGCCAGCCAAGUGUCCAUAUUUCCCUUUUCUCCUAAAUCAUUUCAGCCUGCUCUUCCUUAUGCAAGAUUAAUUGGAAUUGGAUGUUCGUCUUGGAAUCAUAUUCCUGCGUGAUUAUAGCAACAUUAAAACCUGCUUUCUUGGACUGAUCUUGAAUCAAGUAUGUGACACUGCAAUUGACUGUUCAAGUCAGGCUUUAAUUAAGAAUGAAAAAUAAGGUCAGUGUGAUGUUCUUGAGCAGCUGCCUGCUCACACUGAGCAAGUCUCAGAAGUGGUUUUCAGGGCAGUAGCAAUAUUCUGUCUGACUAGAAUAAUGAGAUGUUUUCUGCACUGGAAAUGCUGCGACUUUCACCAUCCUAAGGUUAAAUAAACCAAAAGUCAUGGCCAUUAUCUUGGUUGAAGGAUUCCACAUGAAAUUGUGCAUCAUGAAAUUUCUGACAAAAAUCAAGUGCGUAAGAUCCUAAGAAGAACUUUGUUGAAUCAGGCCAGGGCCCAUCUAGUCCAGCAUCCUAUUCACAGAGGCCAACUGACACCACCUCCAAUACUUCCUUUCGUAGCCUUCCUAUAGAGUUUAUAUCCAGAAAUGACCAUGUCCUAACAGUUCUCUCCACUCCACCAGGUUUCCAUUAUGCAAUGUCUGACAGUGGAUAACUGGAAAAUGUUGAAAGCAAAUAUCUCCUUUGCAAAAUUGAUUAUUCCCACACAUCCAAUGACCAGAAGAAAAGCAGAUGGUUUUAUUCAGCUUUUUUAAAAAAUUAAUAAAUUCUGAGA